This 1461-nucleotide ribosomal RNA is filed under the name uncultured bacterium. RNAcentral describes it as "bacterial SSU rRNA". The record is from RNAcentral.
AUUGAACGCUGGCGGCAUGCCUUACACAUGCAAGUCGAACGGCAGCACGGGGGCAACCCUGGUGGCGAGUGGCGAACGGGUGAGUAAUACAUCGGAACGUGUCCUGUAGUGGGGGAUAGCCCGGCGAAAGCCGGAUUAAUACCGCAUACGCUCUACGGAGGAAAGGGGGGGAUCUUAGGACCUCCCGCUACAGGGGCGGCCGAUGGCAGAUUAGCUAGUUGGUGGGGUAAAGGCCUACCAAGGCGACGAUCUGUAGCUGGUCUGAGAGGACGACCAGCCACACUGGGACUGAGACACGGCCCAGACUCCUACGGGAGGCAGCAGUGGGGAAUUUUGGACAAUGGGGGCAACCCUGAUCCAGCAAUGCCGCGUGUGUGAAGAAGGCCUUCGGGUUGUAAAGCACUUUUGUCCGGAAAGAAAACGCCGUGGUNAAUACCCGUGGCGGAUGACGGUACCGGNAGAAUAAGCACCGGCUAACUACGUGCCAGCAGCCGCGGUAAUACGUAGGGUGCAAGCGUUAAUCGGAAUUACUGGGCGUAAAGCGUGCGCAGGCGGUCCGCUAAGACAGAUGUGAAAUCCCCGGGCUUAACCUGGGAACUGCAUUUGUGACUGGCGGGCUAGAGUAUGGCAGAGGGGGGUAGAAUUCCACGUGUAGCAGUGAAAUGCGUAGAGAUGUGGAGGAAUACCGAUGGCGAAGGCAGCCCCCUGGGCCAAUACUGACGCUCAUGCACGAAAGCGUGGGGAGCAAACAGGAUUAGAUACCCUGGUAGUCCACGCCCUAAACGAUGUCAACUAGUUGUCGGGUCUUCAUUGACUUGGUAACGUAGCUAACGCGUGAAGUUGACCGCCUGGGGAGUACGGUCGCAAGAUUAAAACUCAAAGGAAUUGACGGGGACCCGCACAAGCGGUGGAUGAUGUGGAUUAAUUCGAUGCAACGCGAAAAACCUNACCAGGUCUUGACAUCCCGAUGCUAUUUCUAGAGACAGAAAGUUACUUCGGUACAUCGGUGACAGAGUGGUGCAUGGUUGUCUGUCAGCUCCGUGUCGUGAGMWRUUGGGUUAAGUCCCGCAACGAGCGCAACCCUUACCCUCUGUUGCUAACAGGUGAAGCUGAGCACUCUGAGGGAACUGCCGGUGACAAACCGGAGGAAGGUGGGGAUGACGUCAAGUCAUCACGGCCCUUAUGUCCAGGGCUACACACGUGCUACAAUGGCCGGUACAAAGAGUUGCGAUACCGCGAGGUGGAGCUAAUCUCAAAAAACCGGUCUCAGUUCGGAUUGUUCUCUGCAACUCGAGAGCAUGAAGUUGGAAUCGCUAGUAAUCGUGGAUCAGCACGCCACGGUGAAUACGUUCCCGGGCCUUGUACACACCGCCCGUCACACCAUCUGAGUUGGCAGCACCCGAAGUGGCCGAUCUAACCGCAAGGAGGAAGGUUACUAAGGUGAAGUCGGUGAAGAGGGUG